RNAcentral lists this ribosomal RNA (490 nucleotides) under uncultured bacterium. RNAcentral's name for it is "partial 16S ribosomal RNA". It matches the Rfam family "Bacterial small subunit ribosomal RNA", at positions 30 to 507 of the family's 1533-position model. The record is from RNAcentral.
AUUGAACGCUGGCGGCAGGCCUAACACAUGCAAGUCGAACGGUAACAGGAAGAAGCUUGCUUCUUUGCUGACGAGUGGCGGACGGGUGAGUAAUGUCUGGGAAACUGCCUGAUGGAGGGGGAUAACUACUGGAAACGGUAGCUAAUACCGCAUAACGUCGCAAGACCAAAGAGGGGGACCUUCGGGCCUCUUGCCAUCGGAUGUGCCCAGAUGGGAUUAGCUAGUAGGUGGGGUAACGGCUCACCUAGGCGACGAUCCCUAGCUGGUCUGAGAGGAUGACAACCCACACUGGAAGUGGGACGCGGUCCAGACUCCUACGGGAGGCAGCAGUGGGGAAUAUUGCACAAUGGGCGCGAGCCUGAUGCAGCCAUGACACGUGUAUGAAGAAGGCCUUGGGGUUGUAAAGUACUUUCAGCGGGGAGGAAGGGAGUAAAGUUAAUACCUUUGCUCAUUGACGUUAACCGCAAAAGAAGCACCGGCUAACUACGUG